GGGUUGUGAGGUUAAGCGACUAAGCGUACACGGUGGAUGCCCUGGCAGUCAGAGGCGAUGAAGGACGUGCUAAUCUGCGAUAAGCGUCGGUGAGGUGAUAUGAACCGUUAUAACCGGCGAUUUCCGAAUGGGGAAACCCAGUGUGUUUCGACACACUAUCAUUAACUGAAUCCAUAGGUUAAUGAGGCGAACCGGGGGAACUGAAACAUCUAAGUACCCCGAGGAAAAGAAAUCAACCGAGAUUCCCCCAGUAGCGGCGAGCGAACGGGGAGGAGCCCAGAGCCUGAAUCAGUGUGUGUGUUAGUGGAAGCGUCUGGAAAGGCGCGCGAUACAGGGUGACAGCCCCGUACACAAAAAUGCACAUAUUGUGAGCUCGAUGAGUAGGGCGGGACACGUGGUAUCCUGUCUGAAUAUGGGGGGACCAUCCUCCAAGGCUAAAUACUCCUGACUGA
This 452-nucleotide ribosomal RNA is filed under the name Escherichia coli. RNAcentral describes it as "partial 23S ribosomal RNA". It matches the Rfam family "Bacterial large subunit ribosomal RNA", at positions 1 to 483 of the family's 2925-position model. Lineage: Bacteria; Pseudomonadati; Pseudomonadota; Gammaproteobacteria; Enterobacterales; Enterobacteriaceae. The record is from RNAcentral.